This 500-nucleotide ribosomal RNA is filed under the name uncultured bacterium. RNAcentral's name for it is "partial 16S ribosomal RNA". It matches the Rfam family "Bacterial small subunit ribosomal RNA", at positions 30 to 523 of the family's 1533-position model. The record is from RNAcentral.
AUUGAACGCUGGCGGCAUGCCUUACACAUGCAAGUCGAACGGCAGCGGGGGCUUCGGUCCGCCGGCGAGUGGCGAACGGGUGAGUAAUGUAUCGGAACGUACCUUUCAGUGGGGGAUAACGUAGCGAAAGUUACGCUAAUACCGCAUAUUCUGUGAGCAGGAAAGCAGGGGAUCGCAAGACCUUGCGCUGAUUGAGCGGCCGAUAUCAGAUUAGCUAGUUGGGGAGGUAAAGGCUCACCAAGGCGACGAUCUGUAGCGGGUCUGAGAGGAUGAUCCGCCACACUGGAACUGAGACACGGUCCAGACUCCUACGGGAGGCAGCAGUGGGGAAUUUUGGACAAUGGGGGCAACCCUGAUCCAGCCAUGCCGCGUGAGUGAAGAAGGCCUUCGGGUUGUAAAGCUCUUUCGGCCGGGAAGAAAUCGCAUGGGUUAAUACCCUGUGCGGAUGACGGUACCGGCAUAAGAAGCACCGGCUAACUACGUGCCAGCCGCCGCCGUAA